This 358-nucleotide long non-coding RNA is filed under the name Lathyrus oleraceus (garden pea). RNAcentral describes it as "Pisum sativum (pea) long non-coding RNA (PSAT_LNC016277)". Lineage: Eukaryota; Viridiplantae; Streptophyta; Magnoliopsida; Fabales; Fabaceae. The record is from RNAcentral.
AUCUCACAAUUUCAUUUUAUUUCUCUUUUAUAUAUUUAUCGUAUUUGCAUUAUCUAUUUUAUAUUAUCGCAUUUAGAAUAUUAUAUAAACCACUACUAUACAUUAGUAUUUCUAUUUUUAUCUAUAUAUGUUUUAUAUUUAUUUUAUUUGCAUUUUAAUUUUUCAGUUAUUUAUUUAUUUAUAUUUAAUUUCUCUUUUUGUUUUUGUUUCAGUUUCACUUUUUAUUUUUCGUUUUUUUUCACUUUUAUAAAAAUUAUGCAAGUCGAAGAAACUAGGAGAAUCACAAGACAAAUGCUAUCCAGACCCCUCAAAGCCAAAAGACAAGAGAAGCCCAAACCAAAGGACCAAAAUCUGGCCC